GGCCGUGUUCGAGUUUGUAGGACGUGAGGUGGUGACUGAGGAGGUUGAGGUUGAGGCCGUGUGAGCGGAGGAUGGGCUCGUGGCAGAGAUUGAGGUCAAGGCCGUGCCUGAGGAUGAUGGACUGGAGGCCGUGACGGAGGAUGUGGAAGUCGAGGCAGUGACGAAGGAGGUUGGGGUGGAGUCGGUGCCCGUAGGGUCUGAGUUUGAGUGGAGUGAAGUGGAGUAUUGCUUGGAGAGAUUGAUAGAGAAUUGUAGACUCGUGGCGGUUAAGUAAUUUUCGGCCGUGGCUGUGACUGAGGAUACUGGACUCGAAGCCUUGACUGUGUAUAUGGAUUUUGAGGCAGUGACAGUGGGGUUUGAGAUUGAGGCAGUUUCAGAGGAGGAUGGGCUCACGCUGGUGACAGAGGAUUCUUUACUUGAGGCUUCUGCAGAAGUGUUUGGGCUUGAAGCAGAAGUGUUGGAGGUCAAGGUCGUGGUUGUUGUUGUUGUGCUGCUGGCACCUGUGGACACAGUGAGCGUGGCUCAGCCGUGGGUCCUCCCCUGCAGUCGUGGUUCGUCGGAAUUGGGCGAUAACAUCUCCCCUCCCUUCCCUUCUCUGGAACCCUCGUUAUCGCGGCUUUAUCUCCAGGUCACGGCCUCGUGUGAUCCGUUCCCCACCCCAUCCCAUCCCGCGCCCGCCUUUCCCCUUUGCCUCCUUCAGCCUCUCCUGUGUCCUUGCCCCCCUACACCCUCUUCCUCCCUCUCACUUUCUUCCCACGCCUUUCCUGUGCCCGUUUGCACGUCCCUCACGUGUGCACACUGUGUCAGGGCAAGGACACACGUGUGCAACCCUGGAGCCUUGGACAGGGACGAGGCUGGCCAGGAGGACCAAUUCUCGGCCUCCACUCUCCCUUGUCACUGCUGUCAUCCUGGGCUGGGGAGUCGUGGGGUGUCCCCAUCCCUCUCCCUGUCUGGGGUCCCAUCCCUGUCAAUGUCCAUGUCCCUGUCCCCGUCCCCAUCCCUGCCUCUGUCCCCGUUCCUGUCCUCAUUCCCAUCCCUGUCCCCAUCCUUGCCCCGUUCCCAUUCCCGUUCCUGUCCCUGUCCCCAUCUCCAUCCCUGUCCCCAUCCCUGUCCCCAUCCUUGUCUUUAUCCCCAUCACCAAUGUCCCUGUCCCCAUCCCCAGUGUCCCUUUCACCACCAGGACAGUGCCACCUCAGGCUGUGGAGGCCGAUUCCCCCCGAGCCUCCCCAACGCGCCCCCCGAGCA
This 1245-nucleotide long non-coding RNA is filed under the name Anser cygnoides (Swan goose). Its description in RNAcentral is "lncRNA (ENSACDG00005008115.1)". Lineage: Eukaryota; Metazoa; Chordata; Aves; Anseriformes; Anatidae. The record is from RNAcentral.